This 466-nucleotide ribosomal RNA is filed under the name uncultured bacterium. Its description in RNAcentral is "partial 16S ribosomal RNA". It matches the Rfam family "Bacterial small subunit ribosomal RNA", at positions 28 to 507 of the family's 1533-position model. The record is from RNAcentral.
GACGAACGCUGGCGGCGUGCUUAACACAUGCAAGUCGUGCGGUAAGGCCCUUUCGGGGGUACACGAGCGGCGAACGGGUGAGUAACACGUGAGCAACCUGCCCUUCACUUUGGGAUAACUGCCGGAAACGGUGGCUAAUACCGGAUAUGACUUCCUCACGCAUGUGGGGUGGUGGAAAGCCUUCGGGUGGUUGGGGAUGGGCUCGCGGUCUAUCCGCUUGUUGGUGGGGUGAUGGCCUACCAAGGCUUCGGCGGGUAUCCGGCAUGAGAGGGUGACCGGCCACACUGGGACUGAGAGACGGCCCAGACUCCUACGGGAGGCAGCAGUGGGGAAUAUUGGACAAUGGGCGAAAGCCUGAGCCAGAGACGCCGCGUGAGGGAUGACGGCCUUCGGGUUGUAAACCUCUUUCGCCUGCGACGAAGCGAGAGUGACGGUAGCAGGUAAAGAAGCACCGGCCAACUACGUG